AUGGUUUCCAACUUCAUUUAUGUCCCCGCAAAGAACUUAUCCAGCUACAGAGAAGCUCCUUCAAAUAGCCUCUCAGAUUCAUGCCAGCCAAUAGCUCAGGGUGCAAACAAGUCACAAUACUGCAACUAAUGUCUUCUGAUAUGAAAGCUAUGUUUCCAGAGCCACUGGGGCCAGGACGUGGACUCAAGAGAGACAGAAAUAUGCUCACUGGAUACUGUGGCUCAGUAAGGAACCGUGCCAGACCUCUCAUAUGUAACUGUUCUCUCCAUGUCAUUAGUAUAAGAAAAGAGGAAACUUUGGAUGCCACCAAGGCUAGAUUGUUCAGGUGAUUCUGCUCCAUCCCUUCCAAGCUCCCCCAUGUAAGUGGAAGGAGGCAAGGGUGUAUGUCCGUCUCCUGGAGGAAAUCCACUAAGUUCCUAGUUAUGGCUGACGAUGUGUGCCUCUCCUUGGGAUGUCAAACCACAUCUUUCCUGCUACCCCUGAAGGUAUACAUUUCUGUGAGCCUGCACAUAGGUUGUAAUAUCUGCCCUUUCUACUUGCACAUCCAGUGGCACCUAGUGAAGGACAAGUCCCACUAGUCCUGAUGGUACAACCUUUACAAAGUGUCCAAGGUGUUAUAUUACCCCUAAAUGGGAGAAAUAUCUCCCUUUGGACAUGGAGGACGACUUGGCUGAGUUGGGAUGCCAACAGGGGAGUGAUUAGGGGUCUUUGUCUCUGGACUACUGCAGCCCUGGAACAGCAAAUCUGCCCUGAGGGGGAAACACCAGUACAGCAUGAUGAAGCCCCACCCGGUUGCCUGACCUGAAUAUACCUGGAAUAGUUGUCUAAAUGUCUAAAUGGGGAUGAGAUGAUUCUUCCAGGCUGGUAGAUGACUUGCAUUAAGAAGUUAAUGGAGACAAAGGAUCCUCAAAACGAGUCCAUGUUUUUUUUUAUCAAAACAGUAAGAAAUAAAGAUGAAGUGGGGGAUUGAGUGCUGGACCACAAACUGCCUUAUGAGAUUAUCUCACACCAAAUAAUGUGACUAAAGCUCCUAUGAAAAGAGAUGGACACAGAGGAAAUGAUGGCUUCUCAAACUUUUAGAUGCAAGGUAGCUUGUUCAUAUAUGGAAACCCAAAGGAAGCUAAAGAAAGUACAAGGAACAGACUAAUAGGAUAUAAUGAAGACUAAUCUGUGAGCUAGAGCAAUUUGUUAGUAGAAGGAGAACCUUCAGAAGAUUGAGACAAAGGGAGAUCCCUUUAAAGACUAGAAUUGUUUGUUCUCAUCCUUGAUGUUAGCCAUGCAUGACCCUCAAAUCCCGGAAUCUUUGAAAGUACAUCCAAGAGAUGAAGCUAAAGACUUUGUCAAACCAAUCUCAUUUACAUUGGUGGUACUGAAGUGGAGCACAUGGAGGAAACUCUUGCUGCUUUCAGCACCAUCUUGUAAAACUGAUCCUGGUCCCUGAGUGGGAGCCCUUUCACAUUAAAAAACUAGUGUUGAGGUCUUGUCCUUCUAUCUCCCAGGGAGAAUCACCAUAAGUGUUGAACUCUUCAAAUUCCUACUUUUACUAGAUUAAAAACCCCAGGUAACUUUUACCCAUGGGUCAGAGAAGCUACAAAAUAAAUUCUUUUUUUUUUCUUGAUUUGAGAUUAGUGUUUGCCAUUGCUCAUAAGCCCAGAUCAUAAUUACUUGAUAUUUUUCACCUUUUGAAUGGAACAUGAUAGCCCUUCCUUUGUCAGACUGCAUAAUUGGCAAAGGAAAUUUAUACUGUAGAAGACCCUCAGUAGGACCUGAUGUGUUGAUGCUGAAUGCACCAGUAGGAACUUCCUAUGCUACCAAGACCUGCUAUGGUCAUUCAAAAUUUGGUGGAGAGAUUUUCCUCAUUAAAGGAAAACUUUGACUCUUCAAUUUCACAUUCCUAUUUGAUAAUAAGUACUUUCUGAGUUGAAGUCCCAUAAGGCCCACUCAUGGCCACCCAUAGACAAAUCAGCAUGCACUUCUUCCCAUCAGAGCCCAUAAAAACCCUGGACUCAGCCAGACUUGGACAGAUAUCAGGACUACCAGCUGCUGGAAGAAGCUACCCUCUUUGACUUGUUGGGAUGACCUGCCUGUGGAAAGGAGCUACCCACUGCAGGUCUCCUCUCCACUGAGAGCUGGACAUUCAUUGGGAUGACCUGCCUGCAUAAAGGAGCUACCCACUUUGGGUCUCUUGAGAGCUGUUCUGUCACUCAAUGUAGCUCUUCUCUCUGCCUUGCUCACCCCCCAGUUGUCUGUGUACCUCAUUCUUCCUGGACGUGGGGCCAGAACUCAGGAUCUUCUAAAUGGCAGGACUGAAAGAGCUGUAACAAACCAGGCUGAAACAUGCCUGUCUCCCACUUGCCAUGUUGUGGGUGAUGAAGAGAGAAGAGCUACAGCUGGUAGUGCAAACUGAGCACAGCCAGCUGGGCCAGGUGGGCAGAAUGAACCCAGAGGGCAUGAGUUAUACUCAAGCAGAGGGCGCCACUGGCCACAGAAGUUUCUGGCUGGCAAAGUGACACCCCAAGGAUCCCAUGACAGCAUGUGAGAUAUAUCUGAAAUCUGCUUCCUAGACAGACAUACCUCAUUUCUUCAUCUUCAGCUUUUUGCUCAACCGUCAUCCUAUCAGUGAGGCCAUCCCUAACCACCCUACUUCAAGUUGCAGCAUUUGUUUACUCCUUGGCAGGCUCUUUCUCCUUUCUCUGCUUUAUUUUUCAUCAAUACAUUCAGUUUCUUGUAAAAUAUUGUCUUUUAAAGAUAAUUAUUAUUUGGUUUCAUC
Molecule: long non-coding RNA, 2770 nt
Filed under: Homo sapiens (human)
Lineage: Eukaryota; Metazoa; Chordata; Mammalia; Primates; Hominidae
Description: HSALNT0141775
Source: RNAcentral